RNAcentral lists this long non-coding RNA (229 nucleotides) under Salvator merianae (Argentine black and white tegu). RNAcentral's name for it is "lncRNA (ENSSMRG00000018547.1)". Lineage: Eukaryota; Metazoa; Chordata; Lepidosauria; Squamata; Teiidae. The record is from RNAcentral.
CAACCUCCACUGCUCAGCCAUAGGUGAGGACAUGAAACUGUACUCUUCGGAGAAGCACCCCAUCCACUACUAUGCCAGGGGGCCACAAUGCUGCACUCUUGGACCUCAGCAAGAGAUUUCUGCCAGUCCUUUUACCCAAAUUACUUCAAUGGGAGGUCCUGUGGAGGAACGGAACAUAAUGCAAGGAAAGAAUGCACUCCAGUGUUGACCUCUGGCUCUUCCCUGAAAG